GGGAUAUUGCACAAUGGGGGGAACCCUGAUGCAGCGACGCCGCGUGGGCGAUGGAGUGCUUCGGCAUGUAAAGCCCUAUCAGCAGGGAAGAAAAUGACGGUACCUGACUAAGAAGCCCCGGCUAAAUCCGUGCCAGCAGCCGCGGUAAUACGUAUGGGGCAAGCGUUAUCCGGAUUUAUUGGGUUUAAAGGGUGCGUAGGCUGUGAGGUAAGUCAGCGGUGAAAUGCCCCCGCUCAACGGGGUGAAGUGCCAUUGAUACUGCCUUGCUGGAAUGCGGAUGCCGUGGGAGGAAUGUGUGGUGUAGCGGUGAAAUGCAUAGAUAUCACACAGAACACCGAUUGCGAAGGCAUCUCACGAAUCCGCGAUUGACGCUGAUGCACGAAAGCGUGGGUAUCAAACAG
RNAcentral lists this ribosomal RNA (401 nucleotides) under uncultured bacterium. RNAcentral describes it as "bacterial SSU rRNA". It matches the Rfam family "Bacterial small subunit ribosomal RNA", at positions 358 to 775 of the family's 1533-position model. The record is from RNAcentral.